GCUCUGGAGAAGCUCACAUUCGCUGUGAGGGCCGAAGGUGCAAGGUGCCGGGCAAGGCGCCAAAUCUCUCAGGCAAAAGGACAGGGC
Molecule: non-coding RNA, 87 nt
Filed under: bovine gut metagenome
Description: Glycine riboswitch
Rfam family: Glycine riboswitch aptamer
About the family: This family represents the bacterial glycine riboswitch. Glycine riboswitches usually consist of two metabolite-binding aptamers domains with similar structures in tandem.
Source: RNAcentral